This 289-nucleotide ribosomal RNA is filed under the name uncultured Kineococcus sp. Its description in RNAcentral is "partial 16S ribosomal RNA". Lineage: Bacteria; Bacillati; Actinomycetota; Actinomycetes; Kineosporiales; Kineosporiaceae. The record is from RNAcentral.
CUACUGGGGUAUCUAAUCCUGUUCGCUCCCCAUGCUUUCGCUCCUCAGCGUCAGUAACUGCCCAGAGACCCGCCUUCGCCACCGGUGUUCCUCCUGAUAUCUGCGCAUUUCACCGCUACACCAGGAAUUCCAGUCUCCCCUACAGCACUCUAGUGUGCCCGUACCCACUGCAAGCUCAGAGUUGAGCCCUGAGUUUUCACAGCAGACGCGACACACCGCCUACGAGCUCUUUACGCCCAAUAAUUCCGGACAACGCUUGCACCCUACGUAUUACCGCGGCUGCUGGCAC